GAGUUUGAUCAUGGCUCAGAUUGAACGCUGGCGGCAGGCCUAACACAUGCAAGUCGAACGGUAACAGGAAGAAGCUUGCUUCUUUGCUGACGAGUGGCGGACGGGUGAGUAAUGUCUGGGAAACUGCCUGAUGGAGGGGGAUAACUACUGGAAACGGUAGCUAAUACCGCAUAACGUCGCAAGACCAAAGAGGGGGACCUUCGGGCCUCUUGCCAUCGGAUGUGCCCAGAUGGGAUUAGCUAGUAGGUGGGGUAACGGCUCACCUAGGCGACGAUCCCUAGCUGGUCUGAGAGGAUGACCAGCCACACUGGAACUGAGACACGGUCCAGACUCCUACGGGAGGCAGCAGUGGGGAAUAUUGCACAAUGGGCGCAAGCCUGAUGCAGCCAUGCCGCGUGUAUGAAGAAGGCCUUCGGGUUGUAAAGUACUUUCAGCGGGGAGGAAGGGAGUAAAGUUAAUACCUUUACUCAUUGACGUUACCCGCAGAAGAAGCACCGGCUAACUCCGUGCCAGCAGCCGCGGUAAUACGGAGGGUGCAAGCGUUAAUCGGAAUUACUGGGCGUAAAGCGCACGCAGGCGGUUUGUUAAGUCAGAUGUGAAAUCCCCGGGCUCAACCUGGGAACUGCAUCUGAUACUGGCAAGCUUGAGUCUCGUAGAGGGGGGUAGAAUUCCAGGUGUAGCGGUGAAAUGCGUAGAGAUCUGGAGGAAUACCGGUGGCGAAGGCGGCCCCCUGGACGAAGACUGACGCUCAGGUGCGAAAGCGUGGGGAGCAAACAGGAUUAGAUACCCUGGUAGUCCACGCCGUAAACGAUGUCGACUUGGAGGUUGUGCCCUUGAGGCGUGGCUUCCGGAGCUAACGCGUUAAGUCGACCGCCUGGGGAGUACGGCCGCAAGGUUAAAACUCAAAUGAAUUGACGGGGGCCCGCACAAGCGGUGGAGCAUGUGGUUUAAUUCGAUGCAACGCGAAGAACCUUACCUGGUCUUGACAUCCACGGAAGUUUUCAGAGAUGAGAAUGUGCCUUCGGGAACCGUGAGACAGGUGCUGCAUGGCUGUCGUCAGCUCGUGUUGUGAAAUGUUGGGUUAAGUCCCGCAACGAGCGCAACCCUUAUCCUUUGUUGCCAGCGGUCCGGCCGGGAACUCAAAGGAGACUGCCAGUGAUAAACUGGAGGAAGGCGGGGAUGACGUCAAGUCAUCAUGGCCCUUACGACCAGGGCUACACACGUGCUACAAUGGCGCAUACAAAGAGAAGCGACCUCGCGAGAGCAAGCGGACCUCAUAAAGUGCGUCGUAGUCCGGAUUGGAGUCUGCAACUCGACUCCAUGAAGUCGGAAUCGCUAGUAAUCGUGGAUCAGAAUGCCACGGUGAAUACGUUCCCGGGCCUUGUACACACCGCCCGUCACACCAUGGGAGUGGGUUGCAAAAGAAGUAGGUAGCUUAACCUUCGGGAGGGCGCUUACCACUUUGUGAUUCAUGACUGGGGUGAAGUCGUAACAAGGUA
RNAcentral lists this ribosomal RNA (1499 nucleotides) under metagenome. RNAcentral describes it as "bacterial SSU rRNA". It matches the Rfam family "Bacterial small subunit ribosomal RNA". The record is from RNAcentral.